Molecule: ribosomal RNA, 759 nt
Filed under: uncultured organism
Description: bacterial SSU rRNA
Rfam family: Bacterial small subunit ribosomal RNA
Source: RNAcentral
UGCUAUUCUUGAGUGCAGUUGAGGUAGNCGGAAUGUGUAAUUUAGCGGUGAAAUGCUUAGAUAUUACACAGAACCCCGAUUGCGUAGGCAGCUUACUAAACUGUAACUGACGCUGAGGCACGAAAGCGUGGGGAGCGUACAGGAUUAGAUACCCUGGUAGUCCACGCUGUAAACUAUGAUCACUCGCUGUUGGCGAUACAUUGUCAGCGGCUGAGCGAAAGCAUUAAGUGAUCCACCUGGGGAGUACGGCCGCAAGGUUGAAACUCAAAGGAAUUGACGGGGGCCCGCACAAGCGGUGGAACAUGUGGUUUAAUUCGAUGAUACGCGAGGAACCUUACCUGGGCUUAAAUGCAGAACGACGUACCGGGAAACUGGUACUCCCUUCGGGGCGGACUGCAAGGUGCUGCAUGGUUGUCGUCAGCUCGUGCCGUGAGGUGUCGGGUUAAGUCCCAUAACGAGCGCAACCCUCAUUGUUAGUUGCCAGCGAGUAAUGUCGGGGACUCUAACGAAACUGCCGNUGUACACCGUGAGGAAGGUGGGGAUGACGUCAAAUCAGCACGGCCCUUAUGUCCAGGGCUACACACGUGUACCAAUGGCCAGUACAAAGGGCAGCUACCACGCGAGUGGAUGCUAAUCUCUAAAGCUGGUCUCAGUUCGGAUUGAAGUCUGCAACUCGACUUCAUGAAGCUGGAAUCGCUAGUAUNCGCGCAUCAGCCAUGGCGCGGCUGAUACGUUCCCNGGNCCUGUACACACCGCCCG